RNAcentral lists this long non-coding RNA (1502 nucleotides) under Phaseolus vulgaris (common bean). Its description in RNAcentral is "long non-coding RNA (PVUL_LNC001837)". Lineage: Eukaryota; Viridiplantae; Streptophyta; Magnoliopsida; Fabales; Fabaceae. The record is from RNAcentral.
UUUGGUAAAUAGCAGAGGUUAAUUUGAAAACCUAUGCUAAAUGGUAGAGGUUUAUUUUAAAACCUUGGUAAACUAUUCUAAUUUUAUUUCAAAUUCUUUUUUUUUUCUUUUUUUUUUCCUUUCCUCUUCACUUCCGGUAGACCUAAACCCACCUUUCAUUUCCAUCUUCUCUUUUCUUCACUCUCAUUUUUGUCCAACUCGCACCUCACUCCCAUCGCACACCACUGGACCUUUGCUUCUACUGCUUCAACACGAAACGUGCUUCUACUAUUCCAGCACGAAACAUGGUUCUGCUACUCCACCAUGGAACUUGCUUCAAUCUUCGCUCCACCACAGAACCGCUUGUCUACAAAACGCAAGUAUGUUCCGCGAUUAGUGAUGUGAUAUCUGUUAUUUAUUUGACGAUCUUGGAACCCUAAUUUGAAGAAGGUCGAACAAAGGUAAUAAUUAGUUUCUUCUUCUUCUUCUUCUGUUUCUAUGAGUUUAAUGUUAAUUAAUUUUGUAUAUGUAUAGCUUAAUCAAGAGUUUGAUUAUGAUUUUGUUGAUAGGUAUCGAUUCUAUUCAUUGGUACCAUUUCCUCACAGGCUUCUUCUUCUCGUUCUCCCUUCAAUCGAUGAGUUCUUCUCUACCUUUUCUCUCUCUCCAAUUUGAUUUCUUUCUCUUACAGCACUGAACGAUGUGUUUCGACUUAGAUUCUUCAAUUGCUAUGUGUUUUUUAUAUCGUGUCAGAUCUCUGUUUCUCCGUAAUUUUUUUCAAUUAUAAUUUUGCUCACUGUUAAAAUAAAUUACCUAUUUAAGGUUUUAAAAAAUACAUAAUCUGUCAAAUGUUUGCUUUAAGAGAAUUAAAGUAAUCUAUUUUAUGUAUGCAAAUUCAUCUUUUCUUUUCUACUUCUCUUCUGCGCAAUUGGUAACUGACUAUGAUUGACAUUUUUAUAUAUUUUUGUUUAAUAGCUACCUUUUAAGAAUUUUUUUAUAUCUCCAUAGUACUUUUACCUACUUUAAAUAUUUAAUAUAAUAUUCAUAUAUGAUAAUGCUAUAAAGAAAAGCUAAGGAUGUUUUUGGCCAUGGUAAAUAGUUAAUGUGUUGCAGAACAAAAGAAAAUCUACUUAGCUUUCAUUUGAAAUUUGUUAUAUUAUAAAUUGUUAGUUAAUUAUGAUAAAUAAAUAAAUUUCCAAUUAUAAAGAAAUUGUUUUAUUUUUCAGAUUAUACAUUUUUAAUUAUGAUACAUGCUUAUAUUGUAGGUUUCUCUGGACAUCAAGAGGAAGCAUAGUUGAAGAAUAUAGUAUAAUGUAGAAAUGAUUUUUCCUAUUUUGUAUUUUGUAAACAAUAUGAUAGGUUUUCAUUUGUAGUACUUCAUAUAGAUAUUAUUCUUGUAUUGCUUUUUUCCUAGUUCUUUUAACUCAUAUUUUGUGUUUGAGUUUCAAUUUCAGCGUGUAUACUUGAUAUACUUUUAUAUAAAUUAUUAAAUUUAGUUAUAUAUGCAUAACUUUUUAAUUGAUGCA